This 305-nucleotide ribosomal RNA is filed under the name uncultured bacterium. RNAcentral describes it as "partial 16S ribosomal RNA". It matches the Rfam family "Bacterial small subunit ribosomal RNA", at positions 505 to 807 of the family's 1533-position model. The record is from RNAcentral.
ACAGCAGCAGCCGCGGGAAUACGAAGGGGGCUAGCGUUGCUCGGAAUGACUGGGCGUAAAGGGCGCGUAGGCGGUUUGUACAGUUGGGUGUGAAAUUCCUGGGCUUAACCUGGGGGCUGCACCCAAUACGUGCAGGCUUGAGUGUGGAAGAGGGUCGUGGAAUUCCCAGUGUAGAGGUGAAGUUCGUAGAUAUUGGGAAGAACACCGGUGGCGAAGGCGGCGACCUGGUCCAUUACUGACGCUGAGGCGCGAAAGCGUGGGGAGCAAACAGGAUUAGAUACCCCUGUAGUCCCUGUCUCUUAUAC